RNAcentral lists this ribosomal RNA (497 nucleotides) under uncultured bacterium. RNAcentral's name for it is "partial 16S ribosomal RNA". It matches the Rfam family "Bacterial small subunit ribosomal RNA", at positions 28 to 507 of the family's 1533-position model. The record is from RNAcentral.
GAUGAACGCUGGCGGCGUGCCUAAUACAUGCAAGUCGAGCGAACAGAUGAGGAGCUUUCUCCUCUGACGUUAGCGGCGGACGGGUGAGUAACACGUGGAUAACCUACCUAUAAGACUGGGAUAACUUCGUGAAACCGGAGCUAAUACCGGAUAAUAUAUUGAACCGCAUGUUUCAGUAGUGAAAUACGGUUUUUCUGUCACUUAUAGAUUGAUCCGAGCCGCAUUAGCUAGUUGGUAAGGUAACGGCUUACCAAGGCAACGAUGCGUAGCCGACCUGCGAGGGUGAUCGGCCACCCUGGAACUGAGACACGGUCCAGACUCCUACGGGAGGCAGCAGUAGGGAAUCUUCCGCAAUGGGCGAAAGCCUGACGGAGCAACGCCGCGUGAGUGAUGAAGGUCUUCGGAUCGUACAACUCUGUUAUUAGGGAAGAACAAAUGUGUAAGUAACUAUGCACGUCUUGACGGUACCUAAUCAGAAAGCCACGGCUAACUACGUG